GAUGAACGCUGGCGGCGUGCCUAAUACAUGCAAGUCGAGCGAACAGAUGAGGAGCUUGCUCCUCUGACGUUAGCGGCGGACGGGUGAGUAACACGUGGAUAACCUACCUAUAAGACUGGGGUAACUACGGGAAACCGGAGCUAAUACCGGAUAAUAUAUUGAACCGCAUGGUUCAAUAGUGAAAGACGGUUUUGCUGUCACUUAUAGAUGGAUCCGCGCCGCAUUAGCUAGUUGGUAAGGUAACGGCUUACCAAGGCAACGAUGCGUAGCCGACCUGAGAGGGUGAUCGGCCACACUGGAACUGAGACACGGUCCAGACUCCUACGGGAGGCAGCAGUAGGGAAUCUUCCGCAAUGGGCGAAAGCCUGACGGAGCAACGCCGCGUGAGUGAUGAAGGUCUUCGGAUCGUAAAACUCUGUUAUUAGGGAAGAACAAAUGUGUAAGUAACUAUGCACGUCUUGACGGUACCUAAUCAGAAAGCCACGGCUAACUACGUG
This 497-nucleotide ribosomal RNA is filed under the name uncultured bacterium. RNAcentral describes it as "partial 16S ribosomal RNA". It matches the Rfam family "Bacterial small subunit ribosomal RNA", at positions 28 to 507 of the family's 1533-position model. The record is from RNAcentral.